Molecule: long non-coding RNA, 698 nt
Filed under: Bos taurus (domestic cattle)
Lineage: Eukaryota; Metazoa; Chordata; Mammalia; Artiodactyla; Bovidae
Description: long non-coding RNA NONBTAT024230
Source: RNAcentral
GACACACUUAACAGAGUAUCUUGGAUGUUUUUAUAUUCUUAGCUACCAUUGCUGUGCCUGGCAAAUACGAGAGACUGUAUACAUUUUUAUUCAGUAUGUAGAUGAUUGAAUUAUAAGUUGUGGUUAAUUUCAUGGUAUUACCUUGUUUUAGUUAAGCUAGCUAUGGCCUUUAUAUUGAAUUCAAAACAAAGCAGUGGGAAUGCCACUUAGGGGUGUGGAAUACUAGGGGAAAGCGUCCCUCCUGAACUGCUGUUAAUUAACAAAGUCGAAGCAUGUGGACACGAAGAGAAGGAGGGAAGAAAGGAAGGAAAAGAAGAUUUGAGAGGAAAAGAAUAUAGAUACAUCAGCAUUGGAGAAUGACAGAGGCUUAUGCUUCUUAUAUUAUUCCUUCUUGGAAACGUUAAGAUUUCUCGGUGGGGAAGGAAGAAAGUGUUUGAGCAAAGAGUUUGAAGACUUGAACAUUAUAGUAUUAAUGCCAAAUGCAACUCAAGACCAUGUACAACUCACGAUUGUGGCUUGCCUGUAAUAGGUUCAGUAUAUUUGCUUGUGUGAUUAAAUCACAUCGAUGAAUGCCAGACGUUUCUGGUUUCUUUGUGACAUCUUCUGAAUGAUGAUGAUGGUGAAAAUGAUGAUGUGUUUAAUUUCAACAUCUACUGAUACAUAGCAGCUGAUGUUGCAGUGUGGUGUAGCAAGUCAGU